CUACGGGCGGCUGCAGUGGGGAAUAUUGCACAAUGGGCGCAAGCCUGAUGCAGCAACGCCGUGUGAGCGAAGAAGGCCUUCGGGUUGUAAAGCUCUGUCCUAAGGGAAGAAACAAAUGACGGUACCUUAGGAGGAAGCCCCGGCUAACUACGUGCCAGCAGCCGCGGUAAUACGUAGGGGGCAAGCGUUAUCCGGAAUCACUGGGCGGAAAGGGUGCGUAGGCGGCUAAGCAAGCCAGGGGUGAAAGGCAUUGGCUCAACCAAUGUAAGCCUUUGGAACUGUUUGGCUUGAGUGCAGGAGAGGUAAGUGGAAUUCCUAGUGUAGAGGUGAAAUUCGUAGAUAUUAGGAGGAACACCAGUGGCGAAGGCGACUUACUGGACUGUAACUGACGCUGAGGCACGAAAGCGUGGGGAGCGAACAGGAUUAGAUACCCUGGUAGUC
This 441-nucleotide ribosomal RNA is filed under the name uncultured bacterium. RNAcentral's name for it is "partial 16S ribosomal RNA". It matches the Rfam family "Bacterial small subunit ribosomal RNA", at positions 339 to 795 of the family's 1533-position model. The record is from RNAcentral.